UGCCAGAGACUCACUGACUGAGACGGAC
Molecule: non-coding RNA, 28 nt
Filed under: Bombyx mori (domestic silkworm)
Lineage: Eukaryota; Metazoa; Arthropoda; Insecta; Lepidoptera; Bombycidae
Source: RNAcentral